This 1205-nucleotide long non-coding RNA is filed under the name Gossypium barbadense (sea-island cotton). RNAcentral describes it as "long non-coding RNA (GBAR_LNC018697)". The record is from RNAcentral. Lineage: Eukaryota; Viridiplantae; Streptophyta; Magnoliopsida; Malvales; Malvaceae.
AACAGUCUAAAAACAUAAAUUCAUUCUUCUGAUAAUUUUUUAAGUGAUCUGUAUAGAAGCAAAUGGAUCAUUUUCAUUUCCACUUUUGAAAGCUUAAAUUCAUUUCCAAAUGAUUCCAUUUCUCUUUUUCGGAGAAAACAAUAAUUAUUUCUGAAUGUUUCCCAUUUCUCCAUUUCAAAGAAAACAAUAAUCAUUCUUGAAUGUUCCCUGUACAAGCCCAAAUAUGCCCGGGCCCAAACCCAAAAAAACUUGGGCCAAGUUAAACCCAAUUACAUGGCCCAAUUGACCUAAAACAGCAGAAACCCUAGCAGCAAUUAGCAGUGCCACAUGCCCCACGUUCGGCAGCCUCCACACCAUCCCACGUUCAACACUCCGCGCACGCCACACGCUUGUACCUGUAACAACCACAAACUGUAAAGGGUGGAAAAGAGGUUUUCGGGGGUUUUUCUUUUCGUUAUUUUGGCUAUUUAAAGUCAAAUCGAAUCUGUAAUAGGGGUUAAAAAAUUUUGUACUAAAAAACUGAAAGAAGGAAAAUACAAGAGAAAAAAAGCAAGGAUUUUAAAGGUACAUAUUUUGUUCUUUUUCUUUCGGUUCUUCUACUGUCUUGGUUUUCUUUUGUUUUCCUUUUAUUUCUAAAAAAAAUAAACGAAGAGGGGAAGAAAAGGAAGACUUACCGUUCUGAAUCGUCGGAGGGAGUCCCUGAUUCAGCGACUUCUGAUCGGAAAUGGAAAGGAUUUGGAGCAGAAGAGAAAGGAGGCUGCGGCGCAAAUCUUCAAAUGGCAGAAGGGAAUUGAUUUUAGGGUUCAAAAUGGGCCAUUUGCACUAUUGGUCCUUUGUUUUUUUUGGGUGAUUAAAUCAGUUUUUUUAUAUUUUUAAAUUAGGCAAUAUAUUUUAAUGCUGUUUUAGUCCAAUCCAUGUUGCUGCGCGGUGCUUGAGCGAUUUGGAUAAUUUCUCUUUUGAUCCUCCUGUUACGCGUGAUUUAAUUUGCUCCUUUUCUCAUUUUCAAUUUUCGAAUUCAGCCUUUAAAUUCUAUUUAUUUUCAACUUAAUCCUUAAUUUGUUAUGUUAAGUUUUUUUAAAUAUAUUAUUAGUAUUGUUUAUUUGUAUCAUUAUCACUGUAUUAUUAUAAGUACUUUCUAUUUUUAUUAUUGUUAUUAUUAUUAUUAUUAUUAUUUCAAUAUAUAUAUACGCAUAGAUAUUAUAUAA